UGUGCCAUGCAUUACUGGUGUCUCUCUA
This 28-nucleotide non-coding RNA is filed under the name Homo sapiens (human). The record is from RNAcentral. Lineage: Eukaryota; Metazoa; Chordata; Mammalia; Primates; Hominidae.